RNAcentral lists this long non-coding RNA (2506 nucleotides) under Homo sapiens (human). RNAcentral describes it as "non-protein coding lnc-POLR3K-3:3". Lineage: Eukaryota; Metazoa; Chordata; Mammalia; Primates; Hominidae. The record is from RNAcentral.
GGAAAAGCAUGAGUGGGGUGAUGUGCCUUAAAGCAUCAGACACUUGGGCCUCGGGCAUCAGGAGCCAGCCACAGGGAUGUCUGGGGAAAUGGCGUUCCAUGAGAUGCAAGCACACAAGAAUGCACUUGGCACAUCUGGGGAACAGCAGGCAGCUGAUAUCACUGGGCCCACCCCGCACCAGGGAGGAUGGAAGCAGGUGAGGAGCUAGACCACACUGAGGCGGUGGUCGGGACUCAGAGUUUGCUCAGUGAGCCGUUCACUAGGUGCAGGGGCAGUUCCCCGUCUGAAUUUAGGUGACGACACUCAGGUCCAGCCUUGCCAGUCUCAGCCUCCGGUCUCCGUUCCCCCUCUGCAGAGGUCACUUUGUCUGCUGCACGUGAUCAUGAGGGGUUGUGAAGUGCUUGCCCCAUCAGUAGCCAUGUGUGCAUGUGUAAAUACCAUCCUCUGUGUGCCCUGGAGGCUGUCCUUCAGAUAGCAUGUACAGGUGGCAGCAUAGGGCCUGUCCCUAGUGAGAGUGCAGGGAACUCAGCACCGUCAACUCCUCGACCCUGCAGGUCAGAUUAUCCUUGUAGAGGCCCCCUGGAUGGCACCAAGAUCGGCCCUGGCAAGCAGGUGACCCUGACUUCAGAGCCCUUGCCUGAGGGCCUGGCCUGGCAGCUCUGCUGUUAGAAGCAGGAGGUGUGCAGGGGGUGGGGAGCAGCCCAGCCUCUGUGAUCUUCUCCAUGGCAGGAUCUCCCAGCAGGUAGAGCAGAGCCGGAGCCAGGUGCAGGCCAUUGGAGAGAAGGUCUCCUUGGCCCAGGCCAAGAUUGAGAAGAUCAAGGGCAGCAAGAAGGCCAUCAAGGUGUUCUCCAGUGCCAAGUACCCUGCUCCAGAGCGCCUGCAGGAAUAUGGCUCCAUCUUCACCGACGCCCAGGACCCUGGCCUGCAGAGACGCCCCCGCCACAGGAUCCAGAGCAAGCAGCGCCCCCUGGACGAGCGGGCCCUGCAAGAGAAGCUGAAGGACUUUCCUGUGUGCGUGAGCACCAAGCCAGAGCCCGAGGACGAUGCAGAAGAGGGACUUGGGGGUCUUCCCAGCAACAUCAGCUCUGUCAGCUCCUUGCUGCUCUUCAACACCACCGAGAACCUGUAUGGCCAGAAGGCAGGGCCGAGGGGUGUGGGCGGUAGGCCCGGCCUGGCUUAGUGGGGACCCAGGGCAUCAGACACAGGUACAGCACAUAGCCCAGGAGCCAGGGGGUGACUGGGGUGGCUCGGCUCGGGAGGCCUGGGACCCCACAGUGCACACUGUGCCCCUGAUGAUGUGGGAGAGGAACAUGGGCUCAGGACAGCGGGUGUCAGCUUGCCUGACCCCCAUGUCGCCUCUGUAGGUACAAGAAGUAUGUCUUCCUGGACCCCCUGGCUGGUGCUGUAACAAAGACCCAUGUGAUGCUGGGGGCAGAGACAGAGGAGAAGCUGUUUGAUGCCCCCUUGUCCAUCAGCAAGAGAGAGCAGCUGGAACAGCAGGUCCCAGAGAACUACUUCUAUGUGCCAGACCUGGGCCAGGUGCCUGAGAUUGAUGUUCCAUCCUACCUGCCUGACCUGCCCGGCAUUGCCAACGACCUCAUGUACAUUGCCGACCUGGGCCCCGGCAUUGCCCCCUCUGCCCCUGGCACCAUUCCAGAACUGCCCACCUUCCACACUGAGGUAGCCGAGCCUCUCAAGACCUACAAGAUGGGGUACUAACACCACCCCCACCGCCCCCACCACCACCCCCAGCUCCUGAGGUGCUGGCCAGUGCACCCCCACUCCCACCCUCAACCGCGGCCCCUGUAGGCCAAGGCGCCAGGCAGGACGACAGCAGCAGCAGCGCAUCUCCUUCAGUCCAGGGAGCUCCCAGAGAAGUGGUCGACCCCUCCGGUGGCUGGGCCACUCUGCUAGAGUCCAUCCGCCAAGCUGGGGGCAUCGGCAAGGCCAAGCUGCGCAGCAUGAAGGAGCGAAAGCUGGAGAAGCAGCAGCAGAAGGAGCAGGAGCAAGUGAGAGCCACGAGCCAAGGUGGGCACUUGAUGUCGGAUCUCUUCAACAAGCUGGUCAUGAGGCGCAAGGGCAUCUCUGGGAAAGGACCUGGGGCUGGUGACGGGCCCGGAGGAGCCUUUGCCCGCGUGUCAGACUCCAUCCCUCCUCUGCCGCCACCGCAGCAGCCACAGGCAGAGGACGAGGACGACUGGGAAUCGUAGGGGGCUCCAUGACACCUUCCCCCCCAGACCCAGACUUGGCCGUUGCUCUGACAUGGACACAGCCAGGACAAGCUGCUCAGACCUGCUUCCCUGGGAGGGGGUGACGGAACCAGCACUGUGUGGAGACCAGCUUCAAGGAGCGGAAGGCUGGCUUGAGGCCACACAGCUGGGGCGGGGACUUCUGUCUGCCUGUGCUCCAUGGGGGGACGGCUCCACCCAGCCUGCGCCACUGUGUUCUUCUCUUAAGAGGCUUCCAGAGAAAACGGCACACCAAUCAAUAAAGAACUGAGCAGAAA